GCGCCCGUAGCUCAGCUGGAUAGAGCGUCUGACUACGAAUCAGAAGGCCGCAGGUUCGAGCCCUGCCGGGCGCA
Molecule: transfer RNA, 74 nt
Filed under: Acidobacteriota bacterium
Lineage: Bacteria; Pseudomonadati; Acidobacteriota
Also listed under: 3 other names
Description: tRNA-Arg
Rfam family: tRNA
About the family: Transfer RNA (tRNA) molecules are approximately 80 nucleotides in length. Their secondary structure includes four short double-helical elements and three loops (D, anti-codon, and T loops). Further hydrogen bonds mediate the characteristic L-shaped molecular structure. tRNAs have two regions of fundamental functional importance: the anti-codon, which is responsible for specific mRNA codon recognition, and the 3' end, to which the tRNAs corresponding amino acid is attached (by aminoacyl-tRNA synthetases). tRNAs cope with the degeneracy of the genetic code in two manners: having more than one tRNA (with a specific anti-codon) for a particular amino acid; and 'wobble' base-pairing, i.e. permitting non-standard base-pairing at the 3rd anti-codon position.
Source: RNAcentral